Molecule: unclassified non-coding RNA, 337 nt
Filed under: soil metagenome
Description: partial contains 5.8S ribosomal RNA, internal transcribed spacer 2, and large subunit ribosomal RNA
Rfam family: 5.8S ribosomal RNA (bases 1-120)
Source: RNAcentral
GAUGAAGAACGCAGCGAAAUGCGAUAAGUAGUGUGAAUUGCAGAAUUCAGUGAAUCAUCGAAUCUUUGAACGCACAUUGCGCCCCUUGGUAUUCCAUGGGGCAUGCCUGUUCGAGCGUCAUUUGUACCUUCAAGCUCUGCUUGGUGUUGGGUGUUUGUCUCGCCUCUGCGUGUAGACUCGCCUCAAAACAAUUGGCAGCCGGCGUAUUGAUUUCGGAGCGCAGUACAUCUCGCGCUUUGCACUCAUAACGACGACGUCCAAAAGUACCUUUUUACACUCUUGACCUCGGAUCAGGUAGGGAUACCCGCUGAACUUAAGCAUAUCAAUAAGCGGAGGA